GAGCGCCUGCGGUGUUGGUGAACUUCGAGCUAAUUCGAACCGAACACCAAUUCACAUUGGGAGUUCAAAAUUGAAAUGUCUACAGCAUGCCUCGUAAGCUGAGGAAGCUGGAAACAUUUCUGCGAGCACCCACCUGCUUAGCGCGGGUUCGUGAUGUCUUUGGAGAUAACCGCAUUCGCGGGCUUUCA
This 188-nucleotide non-coding RNA is filed under the name Alteribacter lacisalsi. RNAcentral describes it as "6S / SsrS RNA". It matches the Rfam family "6S / SsrS RNA". From Rfam's summary of the family: E. coli 6S RNA was the first non coding RNA to be sequenced, but its function was unknown until recently. It consists of 184 nucleotides that fold into an extended hairpin structure with a large single-stranded internal bulge. Lineage: Bacteria; Bacillati; Bacillota; Bacilli; Caryophanales; Bacillaceae. The record is from Rfam by way of RNAcentral.